Molecule: ribosomal RNA, 497 nt
Filed under: uncultured bacterium
Lineage: Bacteria
Description: partial 16S ribosomal RNA
Rfam family: Bacterial small subunit ribosomal RNA
Source: RNAcentral
GAUGAACGCUGGCGGCGUGCCUAAUACAUGCAAGUCGAGCGAACAGACCAGGAGUUUGCUCCUCCGACGUUAGCGGCGGACGGGUCCGUCACUUGUGGUUAACCUACCUAUAAGACUGGGAUACCUUUGGGAAACCGGAGCUACUACCGGAUAAUAUAUUGCCCUGCAUGGUUCAAUCGUGAAAUACGGUUUUGCUGUCACUUAUAGACGACUAAGCCCAGCAUUCGCUAGUUGGUAAGGUAAAGGCUUACCAAGGCUACGAGGCGUAGCCGACCCCAGAGGGAGAUCGGCCACACGGGAACUGAGACACAGUCCAGACUCCUACGGGGGGCAACGGUAGAGAAUCUUACGCAAUGGAGGAGAGCCGAACGUAGCAACGCCGCGGAAGUGAUGAAGGUCUUCGGAUCGGUAAGCGCUGUUAUUAGUGAAGAACAAAUGUUUAAGUAACUAGGAACAUCUUGACGGUACCGGAUCAGAAAGCCACGGCUAACUACGUG